Molecule: ribosomal RNA, 1585 nt
Filed under: Escherichia coli
Lineage: Bacteria; Pseudomonadati; Pseudomonadota; Gammaproteobacteria; Enterobacterales; Enterobacteriaceae
Description: partial 23S ribosomal RNA
Rfam family: Bacterial large subunit ribosomal RNA
Source: RNAcentral
AUCAGUGUGUGUGUUAGUGGAAGCGUCUGGAAAGGCGCGCGAUACAGGGUGACAGCCCCGUACACAAAAAUGCACAUGCUGUGAGCUCGAUGAGUAGGGCGGGACACGUGGUAUCCUGUCUGAAUAUGGGGGGACCAUCCUCCAAGGCUAAAUACUCCUGACUGACCGAUAGUGAACCAGUACCGUGAGGGAAAGGCGAAAAGAACCCCGGCGAGGGGAGUGAAAAAGAACCUGAAACCGUGUACGUACAAGCAGUGGGAGCACGCUUCGGCGUGUGACUGCGUACCUUUUGUAUAAUGGGUCAGCGACUUAUAUUCUGUAGCAAGGUUAACCGAAUAGGGGAGCCGAAGGGAAACCGAGUCUUAACUGGGCGUUAAGUUGCAGGGUAUAGACCCGAAACCCGGUGAUCUAGCCAUGGGCAGGUUGAAGGUUGGGUAACACUAACUGGAGGACCGAACCGACUAAUGUUGAAAAAUUAGCGGAUGACUUGUGGCUGGGGGUGAAAGGCCAAUCAAACCGGGAGAUAGCUGGUUCUCCCCGAAAGCUAUUUAGGUAGCGCCUCGUGAAUUCAUCUCCGGGGGUAGAGCACUGUUUCGGCAAGGGGGUCAUCCCGACUUACCAACCCGAUGCAAACUGCGAAUACCGGAGAAUGUUAUCACGGGAGACACACGGCGGGUGCUAACGUCCGUCGUGAAGAGGGAAACAACCCAGACCGCCAGCUAAGGUCCCAAAGUCAUGGUUAAGUGGGAAACGAUGUGGGAAGGCCCAGACAGCCAGGAUGUUGGCUUAGAAGCAGCCAUCAUUUAAAGAAAGCGUAAUAGCUCACUGGUCGAGUCGGCCUGCGCGGAAGAUGUAACGGGGCUAAACCAUGCACCGAAGCUGCGGCAGCGACACUAUGUGUUGUUGGGUAGGGGAGCGUUCUGUAAGCCUGUGAAGGUGUACUGUGAGGUAUGCUGGAGGUAUCAGAAGUGCGAAUGCUGACAUAAGUAACGAUAAAGCGGGUGAAAAGCCCGCUCGCCGGAAGACCAAGGGUUCCUGUCCAACGUUAAUCGGGGCAGGGUGAGUCGACCCCUAAGGCGAGGCCGAAAGGCGUAGUCGAUGGGAAACAGGUUAAUAUUCCUGUACUUGGUGUUACUGCGAAGGGGGGACGGAGAAGGCUAUGUUGGCCGGGCGACGGUUGUCCCGGUUUAAGCGUGUAGGCUGGUUUUCCAGGCAAAUCCGGAAAAUCAAGGCUGAGGCGUGAUGACGAGGCACUACGGUGCUGAAGCAACAAAUGCCCUGCUUCCAGGAAAAGCCUCUAAGCAUCAGGUAACAUCAAAUCGUACCCCAAACCGACACAGGUGGUCAGGUAGAGAAUACCAAGGCGCUUGAGAGAACUCGGGUGAAGGAACUAGGCAAAAUGGUGCCGUAACUUCGGGAGAAGGCACGCUGAUAUGUAGGUGAAGCGACUUGCUCGUGGAGCUGAAAUCAGUCGAAGAUACCAGCUGGCUGCAACUGUUUAUUAAAAACACAGCACUGUGCAAACACGAAAGUGGACGUAUACGGUGUGACGCCUGCCCGGUGCCGGAAGGUUAAUUGAUGGGGU